RNAcentral lists this ribosomal RNA (253 nucleotides) under uncultured bacterium. RNAcentral's name for it is "partial 16S ribosomal RNA". It matches the Rfam family "Bacterial small subunit ribosomal RNA", at positions 524 to 776 of the family's 1533-position model. The record is from RNAcentral.
UACGUAGGCAGCGAGCGUUGUUCGGAGUUACUGGGCGUAAAGCGUGCGUAGGCGGUGGCCCAAGUCUGGUGUGAAAUCUCCCGGCUUAACCGGGAGGGUGCGCCGGAAACUGGGUCGCUCGAGUGCCGGAGAGGCAGGCGGAAUUCCUGGUGUAGCGGUGAAAUGCGUAGAUAUCUGGAGGAAUACCGGUGGCGAAGGCGGCAUCCUGGACCGACAUUGACGCUGAGGAGCGAAAGCUAGGGGAGCAAACGGG